This 377-nucleotide ribosomal RNA is filed under the name uncultured bacterium. RNAcentral describes it as "bacterial SSU rRNA". It matches the Rfam family "Bacterial small subunit ribosomal RNA", at positions 523 to 898 of the family's 1533-position model. The record is from RNAcentral.
AUACGGAGGGUGCGAGCGUUGUUCGGAAUUAUUGGGCGUAAAGCGCGUGCAGGCGGCCUACUUAGUCUGAUGUGAAAGCCCUGGGCUCAACCCAGGAAGUGCAUUGGAAACUGGUCGGCUUGAGUACGGGAGAGGAAAGUGGAAUUCCGAGUGUAGGGGUGAAAUCCGUAGAUAUUCGGAGGAACACCAGUGGCGAAGGCGGCUUUCUGGACCGAUACUGACGCUGAGACGCGAAAGCGUGGGGAGCAAACAGGAUUAGAUACCCUGGUAGUCCACGCCGUAAACGAUGGGUACUAGGUGUUGCGGGUAUUGACCCCUGCAGUGCCAAAGCUAACGCAUUAAGUACCCCGCCUGGGGAGUACGGCCGCAAGGCUAAA